RNAcentral lists this ribosomal RNA (84 nucleotides) under Vibrio vulnificus. Lineage: Bacteria; Pseudomonadati; Pseudomonadota; Gammaproteobacteria; Vibrionales; Vibrionaceae. The record is from RNAcentral.
CUUGGCGACCAUAGCGUUUUGGACCCACCUGAACCCAUUCCGAACUCAGAAGUGAAACGAAAUAGCGUCGAUGGUAGUGUGGGG